GGUGAGUAACACGUGAGCAAUCUGCCCCUGACUCUGGGAUAAGCGUUGGAAACGACGUCUAAUACCGGAUACGAGCCGAGCAGGCAUCUGCAUCGGUUGGAAAGAACUUCGGUCAGGGAUGAGCUCGCGGCCUAUCAGCUAGUUGGUGAGGUAAUGGCUCACCAAGGCGACGACGGGUAGCCGGCCUGAGAGGGUGACCGGCCACACUGGGACUGAGACACGGCCCAGACUCCUACGGGAGGCAGCAGUGGGGAAUAUUGCACAAUGGGCGCAAGCCUGAUGCAGCAACGCCGCGUGAGGGACGACGGCCUUCGGGUUGUAAACCUCUUUUAGCAGGGAAGAAGCGAGAGUGACGGUACCUGCAGAAAAAGCACCGGCUAACUACGUGCCAGCAGCCGCGGUAAUACGUAGGGUGCGAGCGUUAUCCGGAAUUAUUGGGCGUAAAGAGCUCGUAGGCGGUCUGUCGCGUCUGCUGUGAAAACCCGAGGCUCAACCUCGGGCUUGCAGUGGGUACGGGCAGACUAGAGUGCGGUAGGGGAGAUUGGAAUUCCUGGUGUAGCGGUGGAAUGCGCAGAUAUCAGGAGGAACACCGAUGGCGAAGGCAGAUCUCUGGGCCGUUACUGACGCUGAGGAGCGAAAGCGUGGGGAGCAAACAGGCUUAGAUACCCUGGUAGUCCACGCCGUAAACGUUGGGAACUAGAUGUGGGGACCAUUCCACGGUCUCCGUGUCG
This 731-nucleotide ribosomal RNA is filed under the name Agrococcus sp. RNAcentral's name for it is "bacterial SSU rRNA". It matches the Rfam family "Bacterial small subunit ribosomal RNA", at positions 105 to 848 of the family's 1533-position model. The record is from RNAcentral. Lineage: Bacteria; Bacillati; Actinomycetota; Actinomycetes; Micrococcales; Microbacteriaceae.